UGUGGUUUAAUUCGAUGCAACGCGAAGAACCUUACCUGGUCUUGACAUCCACGGAAGUUUUCAGAGAGUGAGAAUGUGCCUUCGGGAACCGUGAGACAGGUGCUGCAUGGCUGUCGUCAGCUCGUGUUGUGAAAUGUUCGGGUUAAGUCCCGCAACGAGCCGCAACCCUUAUCCUUUGUUGCCAGCGGUCCGGCCGGGAACUCAAAGGAGACUGCCAGUGAUAAACUGGAGGAAGGUGGGAUGACGUCAAGUCAUCAUGGCCCUUACGACCAGGGCUACACACGUGCUACAAUGGCGCAUACAAAGAGAAGCGACCUCGCGAGAGCAAGCGGACCUCAAUAAAGUGCGUCGUAGUCCGGAUUGGAGUCUGCAACUCGACUCCAUGAAGUCGGAAUCGCUAGUAAUCGUGGAUCAGAAUGCCACGGUGAAUACGUUCCCGGGCCUU
This 445-nucleotide ribosomal RNA is filed under the name uncultured Enterobacteriaceae bacterium. RNAcentral describes it as "bacterial SSU rRNA". It matches the Rfam family "Bacterial small subunit ribosomal RNA", at positions 940 to 1382 of the family's 1533-position model. The record is from RNAcentral. Lineage: Bacteria; Pseudomonadati; Pseudomonadota; Gammaproteobacteria; Enterobacterales; Enterobacteriaceae.